GGGAGGGGGAGGAGGAAUAAUAUGGUGUAGUUUCAUGAAUGUUCCAACCUAUAUCCUUACUGAUUUUCAGCCUGCAGGAUCUUUCUAUUUCUGAGAGAUGGGUGAUAAAGCCUCCAACUGUAAUAGUGGAUUCAUCUGUUUCUCUGUAGUUUAUCGAUUUUUGCCUCAUGUAGCAUGAUACUCUUUUGUAAAACAUGUAUGCCUCUUAUAUUCAGUGUGAGACCUUAGUAGAACCCCUAGUGGUAAAACUUACUACAUUGUGGGAGUCCCCUGUGACUGGGCACCUCUGGAAUUUUUUAAAAGUAUGUUGGUGGACCUUUACUUUAUUCAUUUAUUUAUAUGCAAUGCUGAGAAUCAAACCCAGUGCACAUCUUGUGGUUGUACAUGAUGUGGAAUUACCUUGGUCAUGUAUUUAUAUACAAGGAUAAGAAAGUUAUGUCCAAUGUAAUUUUAAUUUGUAUCUCCCUAAUAGCUAAUAUUGAUGGCCAUAUGUUCAUGGGCAUAUUUACCAUUUCUGUAUCUUCUUUGGUCAACUGUCACUUCAAUUUUUUUUUUAAUUCAGCUACUUAAGUCUGUUUUCUUCUUAUAGGCUUUUGAGAGAUUUUUUAUAUUUUUGUGUAAAAAUCCUUUAUCAGAUAUAUGAUUUUCAAAUAUUUGAAAUAUUUCACUUCCAUUAAGUGUUUCACUUUAUUAAUACCGAUUCUGAAGUAAUAAAUUUUGGGGGAGGGGUACCAGGGAUUGAACUCAGGAGCACUCAACUACUGAGCCACAUCCUUGUUCCUAAUUUUUAUUUUAUUUAGAGACAGGUUCUUAGUGAGUUGCGUAGUGCCUUGCUUUUGCUGAGGCUGGCUUUGAACUCACUGACCUCCUGCCUCAGUCUCCCAGGCUGCUGGGAUUACAGGUGUACACCACUGUGCCUGGCAGUAACAAAUAUUUUAACAUUCAGAAAGUCCUAUUUAUUAAUUUGUUCAUUUAUUGAUGAUGGUUUUCAUGUCCCAUCUAAAAAAUCUUCACUUAAUCCAAGGUCGAAUGGAUUUCCCCUAUGUUUUUCUUUCUGGAACUUUUUUUCUUGAGCAAGAGAUGCAGAAAGAACAGGCAAAGUAUAAAUUUAUUGAAGGUGAAGAUGAAAGUAGUACUCUGUAAGGCAGAGCAGAGUUGACCAAGUGAGAGAGAGGCUCAAGGUCUUUUCUGGAACAUUUACAGCUUACAUAUUAUAUUUAGGUGUUUGGUAUAUUUUUAGUUAAUUUUUAUAUGUGAUAUGAUAUAUGAAUUACAGUUUAUGUUUGUAUAUAUGGAUAUCCAUCUAUCCCAGUAACAUUUGUUGAAAAGAUGGUACUUUCUCCACUAAAUUACCUUUUGUACCUUUCUUGAAAGUCAGUUGUCCAUAUAUGCAUGGAUCCUUUUCUGGAUUCUGUAUCAUGUUCCACUAAUCUAAUGUCUUGUUGCCAGAAGCAUGCUGUCUUUUGAUUACCAUAGGUUUAUCAUUAUUCUUGAAAACAGCUAGUGUUUGUCCUCCAACUUUGUUCUUCCUUUUUGAAGGUGUUUUUUCAUAGUCUAGAUCUUCUGACUUUAUACACGAAAUUUAGUAUUUCCUUGCCAGUUUCUGAAAAAAAAUUGGUAGGAUUUUGUUUGGAAAUACAUGUAAGUAUUGAUUGGGGAGAAAUAUAAAACUUUAGAAAACGAGAUCUUCCAACUCAAGAGGAGAAAAAAAAGUGUCCUAGAGAAAAUUUUCAGGUCAUCUCCAGAAAAGCAAAUCUCUAAAAGAAUAGUUGUGGUUUUUCUAUCUUUGUAUUUGUGGUAAAUCUAUUGAAUAAUGGUAUUUUUCUUCUUUACCCACCCACAGCAUAUCUACCUCAAUAAAUCCUGAUUUCU
This 1872-nucleotide long non-coding RNA is filed under the name Marmota monax (woodchuck). Lineage: Eukaryota; Metazoa; Chordata; Mammalia; Rodentia; Sciuridae. The record is from RNAcentral.